AUCUUAGUGGUGUAAAUAACACGCUUCAUUUUCGUUGAUGAGAUGAAAACUUUUUUUUCCUAAGAUA
RNAcentral lists this transfer RNA (67 nucleotides) under Amphibalanus amphitrite. RNAcentral's name for it is "tRNA-Glu". The record is from RNAcentral. Lineage: Eukaryota; Metazoa; Arthropoda; Thecostraca; Balanomorpha; Balanidae.